This 1672-nucleotide long non-coding RNA is filed under the name Equus caballus (horse). Its description in RNAcentral is "lncRNA (ENSECAG00000052719.1)". The record is from RNAcentral. Lineage: Eukaryota; Metazoa; Chordata; Mammalia; Perissodactyla; Equidae.
AAGGACAUUGCCCUUCAAUAAUUCAGCAGAAGCCCAAUGUGGGAAGAACUUACCCCGAAGAGAUUUGUGAGUGUGGCUUUUGUCUAAUGAAGUGAGCCUCAAUAAGAGUCAUAGGAAACACACAAAAUUUCUAAAAUAGUUACAGCUACAGAAAUACCACCAGUUUAUAAUUACAGAAAUACCACACAAUAAGAAGAGGCAUGUGGAACCCCAAAAUAUUACUGAGAAAACUACACAGCUCCAAAACAGGCUACCUUUCAACGAAAAGGAAAGGAAUCAGAAGAGGAAACGAGAAUCCAGAGGGUGGAGCUGAGAGCCAUGGAGAAUCACCCCUCAGCAGGAGUAGGACCGAGUUUGAGUCAAGAAACUUCUCCUAUAUGGCCAGGAAGAUUGGCCCUGAGCUAACAUCCAUGCUCAUCUUGGUCUAUUUUAUAUUUGGGACACCUGCCACAGCAUGGCUUGAUAAGUGAUGUGUACGUCUGCACCCAGGAUCCGAACCAGCAAACCCCAGACCGCCAAAGCGUAAUGUGCGAACUUAACCACUGCAGCCGGGCUGGCCCCUUGACUGUAAUCUUUUGAGGAAGAUUAGCCCUGAGCUAACAUCUGCCACCAAUCCUCCUCUUUUUGCUGAGGAAGCCUGGCCCUGAGCUAACAUCUGUGCCCAUCUUCCUCUACUUUGUAUGUGGGACGCCCGCCACAGCACGGCUUGACAAGCGGUGCGUAGGUCCACACCUGGGAUCUGAGCUGGUGAACCCCAGGCUGCGGAAGUGGAAAGUGCAAACUUAACUGCUGCACCACCGGGCUGGCCUGACUGUAAUCUUUUAAGAGACCCUGAGACCAGAACCAUCCAGCUAAGCCACAACCAAAUUCAUGGCACAUAAAAUCUGUGAGACAAUAAAUACUUGUUGUUUCGAACUACUAAUUUCAGAGAUAAUUUGUUACACAGCAAUACAUAACUAAUAUAGGUAUAAACUAUUCUGUUCUUCUCUCCCUUGCCUUUUCUGUAAUUAAUAACAAUGCUGCAACAAACUUCUUCGUGUGUACAUCUUUAUGUGCUCAAUAUAUUAUUUCUGUAGCAUAAAUUCUUAAAAUUGGAAUUUCUGGCUAUGCACAUUUUAAAUUUAGAUGGAUAUUGUCAAAUUACCUCCCCAAAAUAAUUGUAGCAAUUUACACCCUCCCAAACAGUGGAUGGUGCCUUUAUAUCUUUGACAAUUUUAAAUGUUAUUAGUCUUUCUAAUUUUUCUUAAUCCUACGAGAGAAAGUAUCUGAUAUUUUUAUUAAUCUGUAUUUCUUAACUUUUGGUAAAGGAGAGCAUCUUUUUGUAUGUUUAUGGCUUGAAAAAGCACCUUGCUAAUUUCAGGUAAAAUUCUCCUCACGUGCUCUUGUCCCUUGAUCUUUCCUCUUCUACAAUGCCUAGCAUUUAGUUCACAUUACAUAAAUAUGCAGUUUUUUGAUUGGAUGAACGAUGGAAUAAAUGAAAUUCAGAUAUGCAGAAAGUCUUCAUUUAACCCCAUGGGACUGACUUUUAAUUGGGAGAAAAAUACCUUAGCAACCAAUUAAUUUAAUUAUUUUUCACUUCCCCUUUAUCACUAUUCAAUUAUCAUUCAAAUGUUCUCUGACUAAGCUCUUUAUGACUUGUUCGGGCUAAUCUGUUUCUCAAAGUGACUAUACU